UGGGGAAUAUUGCACAAUGGAGGGAACUCUGAUGCAGCGACGCCGCGUGAGUGAUGAAGGAAUUCGUUUCGUAAAACUCUGUUCUAUGGGAAGAAAAGGACUGUACCAUAGGAGAAAGCUCCGGCUAAUUACGUGCCAGCAGCCGCGGUAAUACGUAUGGAGCGAGCGUUGUCCGGAAUUAUUGGGCGUAAAGGGUGCGCAGGCGGCUUUACAAGUUGGAUGUGAAAUAUUGUGGCUCAACCACAAACGUGCAUCCAAAACUGCAAAGCUUGAGUGAAGGAGAGGUAGGUGGAAUUCCUGGUGUAGCGGUGGAAUGCGUAGAUAUCAGGAAGAAUACCGGUGGCGAAGGCGACUUACUGGACUUAAACUGACGCUCAGGCACGAAAGCGUGGGGAGCAAACAGG
Molecule: ribosomal RNA, 404 nt
Filed under: Fusobacteriota bacterium
Lineage: Bacteria; Fusobacteriati; Fusobacteriota
Description: Fusobacteria bacterium partial 16S ribosomal RNA
Rfam family: Bacterial small subunit ribosomal RNA
Source: RNAcentral